CAAGGCGACGAUCAGUAGCCGGUCUGAGAGGAUGAACGGCCACAUUGGGACUGAGACACGGCCCACGACUCCUACGGGAGGCAGCAGUGGGGAAGUCUUCCGCAAUGGACGAAAGUCUGACGGAGCAACGCCGCGUGAGUGAAGAAGGUCUUCGGAUUGUAAAGCUCUGUUAUACGGGACGAAAAAGACGGAUGCCAACAGUAUCCGUCCGUGACGGUACCGUAAGAGAGAGCCACGGGCUAACUACGUGCCAGCAGCCGCGGUAAAU
Molecule: ribosomal RNA, 268 nt
Filed under: uncultured Megasphaera sp.
Lineage: Bacteria; Bacillati; Bacillota; Negativicutes; Veillonellales; Veillonellaceae
Description: partial 16S ribosomal RNA
Rfam family: Bacterial small subunit ribosomal RNA
Source: RNAcentral